UACGUAGGGCGCAAGCGUUGUCCGGAAUUAUUGGGCGUAAAGGGCUCGUAGGCGGUUCGUCACGUCGGGAGUGAAAACUCGGAGCUUAACUCCGAGCCUGCUUCCGAUACGGGCAGACUAGAGGUAGGCAGGGGAGAGCGGAACUCCUGGUGUAGCGGUGGAAUGCGCAGAUAUCAGGAAGAACACCGGUGGCGAAGGCGGCUCUCUGGGCCUUACCUGACGCUGAGGAGCGAAAGCGUGGGGAGCAAACAGG
Molecule: ribosomal RNA, 253 nt
Filed under: uncultured bacterium
Lineage: Bacteria
Description: partial 16S ribosomal RNA
Rfam family: Bacterial small subunit ribosomal RNA
Source: RNAcentral